Molecule: ribosomal RNA, 650 nt
Filed under: Hyphomonas atlantica
Lineage: Bacteria; Pseudomonadati; Pseudomonadota; Alphaproteobacteria; Hyphomonadales; Hyphomonadaceae
Description: corrig. bacterial SSU rRNA
Rfam family: Bacterial small subunit ribosomal RNA
Source: RNAcentral
GUGAGUAACGCGUGGGAACGUACCUUUCACUACGGAAUAGCUCUUGGAAACGAGUGGUAAUACCGUAUACGCCCUCCGGGGGAAAGAUUUAUCGGUGAAAGAUCGGCCCGCGUUAGAUUAGCUAGUUGGUAGGGUAAUGGCCUACCAAGGCGACGAUCUAUAGCUGGUCUGAGAGGAUGAUCAGCCACACUGGGACUGAGACACGGCCCAGACUCCUACGGGAGGCAGCAGUGGGGAAUCUUGCACAAUGGGCGAAAGCCUGAUGCAGCCAUGCCGCGUGAAUGAUGAAGGCCUUAGGGUUGUAAAAUUCUUUCGCCAGGGAUGAUAAUGACAGUACCUGGUAAAGAAGCCCCGGCUAACUUCGUGCCAGCAGCCGCGGUAAUACGAAGGGGGCUAGCGUUGUUCGGAAUUACUGGGCGUAAAGCGCACGUAGGCGGACUUUUAAGUCAGAUGUGAAAUCCCGGGGCUCAACCUCGGAACUGCAUUUGAAACUGGAAGUCUAGAGACCAGGAGAGGUUAGCGGAAUACCGAGUGUAGAGGUGAAAUUCGUAGAUAUUCGGUGGAACACCAGUGGCGAAGGCGGCUAACUGGACUGGUACUGACGCUGAGGUGCGAAAGUGUGGGGAGCAAACAGGAUUAGAUACCCUGGU